UGGGGAAUUUUGGACAAUGGGCGAAAGCCUGAUCCAGCAAUGCCGCGUGUGUGAAGAAGGCCUUCGGGUUGUAAAGCACUUUUGUCCGGAAAGAAAUCCUUGGCUCUAAUACAGUCGGGGGAUGACGGUACCGGAAGAAUAAGCACCGGCUAACUACGUGCCAGCAGCCGCGGUAAUACGUAGGGUGCAAGCGUUAAUCGGAAUUACUGGGCGUAAAGCGUGCGCAGGCGGUUUGCUAAGACCGAUGUGAAAUCCCCGGGCUCAACCUGGGAACUGCAUUGGUGACUGGCAGGCUAGAGUAUGGCAGAGGGGGGUAGAAUUCCACGUGUAGCAGUGAAAUGCGUAGAGAUGUGGAGGAAUACCGAUGGCGAAGGCAGCCCCCUGGGCCAAUACUGACGCUCAUGCACGAAAGCGUGGGGAGCAAACAGGAUUAGAUACCCUGGUAGUCCACGCCCUAAAACGAUGUCAACUAGUUGUCGGGGAUUCAUUUUCCUUAGUAACGUAGCUAACGCGUGAAGUUGACCGCCUGGGGAGUACGGUCGCAAGAUUAAAACUUAAAUGAAUUGACGGGGUCAUAGCUG
This 581-nucleotide ribosomal RNA is filed under the name uncultured bacterium. RNAcentral's name for it is "partial 16S ribosomal RNA". It matches the Rfam family "Bacterial small subunit ribosomal RNA", at positions 355 to 932 of the family's 1533-position model. The record is from RNAcentral.